This 72-nucleotide transfer RNA is filed under the name Chalceus macrolepidotus (pinktail chalceus). Its description in RNAcentral is "tRNA-Ile". It matches the Rfam family "tRNA". From Rfam's summary of the family: Transfer RNA (tRNA) molecules are approximately 80 nucleotides in length. Lineage: Eukaryota; Metazoa; Chordata; Actinopteri; Characiformes; Chalceidae. The record is from RNAcentral.
GGAGCCGUGCCUGAAUGCCCAAGGGCCACUUUGAUAGAGUGAAUUAUGAGGGUUAAAGUCCCCCCAGCUCCU